GACGAACGCUGGCGGCGUGCUUAACACAUGCAAGUCGAACGUGAUUUUUAUGGAAGAACCUUCGGGGACGGAAGUAAAUGAAAGUGGCGAACGGGUGAGUAACACGUGAGCAACCUACCUUACACAGGGGGAUAGCCGUUGGAAACGACGAUUAAUACCGCAUGAGACCACAAUACUGCAUGGUAUAGGGGUCAAAGAUUUAUCGGUGUAAGAUGGGCUCGCGUCUGAUUAGCUAGUUGGAAGGUAAGGCUACCAAGGCGACGAUCAGUAGCCGGUCUGAGAGGAUGAACGGCCACACUGGAACUGAGACACGGUCCAGACUCCUACGGGAGGCAGCAGUGGGGAAUAUUGCACAAUGGGGGAAACCCUGAUGCAGCGACGCCGCGUGAGCGAAGAAGGUUUUCGAAUCGUAAAGCUCUGUCCUAUGAGAAGAUAAUGACGGUAUCAUAGGAGGAAGCCCCGG
This 463-nucleotide ribosomal RNA is filed under the name uncultured bacterium. RNAcentral describes it as "bacterial SSU rRNA". It matches the Rfam family "Bacterial small subunit ribosomal RNA", at positions 28 to 496 of the family's 1533-position model. The record is from RNAcentral.